AUGCAGUCGAGCGGGCUGAUACUAGAUACUAGGCACUGGAGAGCAGAAGAAGGAACUAAAGUUCUUGAAUUUAUCUAAUUUCCAGUUUCUAGUUUCUAGCAUCUAGCUAGCGGCGGACGGGUGAGUAACACGUGGAUAACCUGCCUUAUACAAAGGAAUAACAACCAGAAAUGGUUGCUAAAACCUUAUAAGCUCACGGAGUGGCAUCACUUAGCGAGAAAAUAUUUAUAGGUAUAAUGAGGGGUCCGCGUCUGAUUAGCUAGUUGGAGGGGUAACGGCCCACCAAGGCGACGAUCAGUAGCCGGCCUGAGAGGGCGAACGGCCACAUUGGGACUGAGACACGGCCCAAACUCCUACGGGAGGCAGCAGUGGGGAAUAUUGCGCAAUGGGGGAAACCCUGACGCAGCAACGCCGCGUGAAGGAAGAAGGCUUUCGGGUUGUAAACUUCUAUCGACGGGGAAGAAAAAAAUGACAGUACCCGAGUAAGAAGCACCGGCUAAAUACGUGCCAGCAGCCGCGGUAAUACGUAUGGUGCAAGCGUUAUCCGGAAUUACUGGGCGUAAAGGGUGAGUAGGCCGGUUGGCUAAGUCAUAUGUGAAAAUCCAGGGCUCAACCCUGGACCUGCAUAA
Molecule: ribosomal RNA, 629 nt
Filed under: uncultured Clostridia bacterium
Lineage: Bacteria; Bacillati; Bacillota; Clostridia
Description: bacterial SSU rRNA
Rfam family: Bacterial small subunit ribosomal RNA
Source: RNAcentral